This 83-nucleotide non-coding RNA is filed under the name uncultured Blautia sp. RNAcentral describes it as "Glycine riboswitch". It matches the Rfam family "Glycine riboswitch aptamer", at positions 8 to 87 of the family's 94-position model. Rfam says of the family: This family represents the bacterial glycine riboswitch. Lineage: Bacteria; Bacillati; Bacillota; Clostridia; Lachnospirales; Lachnospiraceae. The record is from RNAcentral.
GCUCUCUGGAGAAUCCCGCCAGCGGGUGCCGAAGGUGAAAGCAGGAAAUCUGCGAAUCUCUCAGGCAAAAGGACAGUGAAGUG